UAUUGCCUCAAUCGAAGCCAUUUUGUUGUUUUUUCAACAAUAUGGUCAAAACUGAGGUAAAUUAAACUUCUCUAGACGGUCGCAGAUCUCAAAAUAUUUGGUUUGCAUACAAAAAAGAGAGACAUCA
This is a non-coding RNA of Biomphalaria glabrata, 127 nucleotides long. NCBI's taxonomy places the organism in Eukaryota, Metazoa, Mollusca, Gastropoda, Planorbidae. The record is from Rfam.